This is a long non-coding RNA of Bombus huntii, 5767 nucleotides long. RefSeq lists it as uncharacterized. The transcript is spliced from 2 exons. The record is from RefSeq and is a predicted model, not a curated record. NCBI's taxonomy places the organism in Eukaryota, Metazoa, Arthropoda, Insecta, Hymenoptera, Apidae.
AACGAUAGAACGGAAAUUUAGAUACAACUCGGCGACAACGUUGAAACGCAAGAUACGAUUCGCGAGAAGUAGACGUAGGCAAGAAACUACUUGAAAAUUUCAGCGAUUCUAUGGACCGACGCGAUGGAUAUUUGUACGGAAACGCGAUACGAAUAGAAGAUAAGAAACAUCAGGUUGAUAAAUAUCGGAGCAGCGUUUUACACGUUUCUCGAAACGUUUGGAUAAUUCUCUCGAGUCGUAACGAGUUGAUCGACGUGAUUUAGGAGCUAGUCGAGAGUACGAAGCAGCCGGUGGUGGCCUACGUCCUACGCUAUCGGCCAGCCAUUCCACCGAUAUGGAUUCGAAUUUGCUGGCCAUCGACCAUCGAGGCAAAAUCGAUUCGCUAUACGCUGUGCAAGUGCAUAAACAAGUUUUCGACGUAUGCCAGUCCGUAGUUAUAAUACCAUCGAGGAUACGUCCUUCGCGAGUUUGACUCGUGCACUCUUUUCGUCCGCGAACCGGUUCAAACGCACUAUCUCUCGCCGUAUCGCCGGAUAAUUAAUCCACUGGAACUAUAGCGCGAUAAUAUCCGAUAACAGAAGUUUCGUUUUCCUACGUCUAUCUUCUCGCAUCUAUUCGACGGUUCGCAUUAUCGCGAAUCUAGCCUCUAACGAGCUUUUGACCGUUCGUUCUUAACGGCUAAAUAAAGUUAUCGCGAGCUUGGAAACGCUCGUCGAGGAAACGAAGUUUACGCGCGUAACGAACAACGGAAUAACGACGAUCGUCGACAGUCAGCUUUCGAAACUCCGACUCGUUCGAAUCAACGAGUUUAACGAAUAGCGUAGUAUGGUGGACGAGCGACGUUGGGCGAAUUAUAAAGAAGCGGUUGCGGAAAAUGUGCGUGGUGGGGCUAAGACAAAAGACGCGAGACUGAGGCAAAAGACGAGAGGUUGCUAAGGGACAAAAACGAAUUAACAGUCAUUGCGAGUGGAGAAGUCGGAGAGUGCGAAUUACGUUGUCGAGAGAGUUGCUAAUUAACUAUCCGGUUAUCUUAAUCGCAAUACGUUAUUGCGAUUAGUUCGUUUCCUGUCUAAUCAACGUCUGUUUGAUCCAUUUAUCGCGAAUAAACUAAUUGUGGUAAAGAUUCUACGAUGCAAUUAUUAACUUUAUUUUUCAAUUUAUCGAGUCGAUCGGCGUGCGUAUGACGUUCGACUUUUCUAAAAUAUUACAUCGUAUUUGCGCGCUUUUCUCCGACAAUGUCAUUCGCGCGAGUCGUUAGUCAUUCUCUGUUCCAUGAAGUUUAUCUUACCUUAAUCGAUGGAAAAAGCUUAACAACGCGAAACACCGUGAAUGAGCAUCGUGCCAGUCGACGCGUUGAUUCACGUUCGCGUGAACGUCGUUCUCGCGAUUGUCGUCGAUAGAGAAACGCGAAAAUGCUGUUACGAUGAUGCGUUGCUGUCUCGUGCGUCCAAGCCAGUUGGAUAUCGUGGAGGCGUAUAUUAUAUACCGCAUAGGUUAAGCCACCCCGCCUACUUGCGCGUCGUGUCCCAAUACCUGGCAGCAAUAUGUCAACAGCUACUUUCCACUCCGCUGGAGUAUCCUGGCACCGAGCUUUAUCCGCGACGCUCGUGGAUCGACAUUAUGCCGGCUACUCGGCCAUGGCGACAGCCCAUGAGCAUACAACGGCAUACAACACGCUUGACAAGCUGCCAUUUUAACGCGCGAUCGCCGAUUACGCAGGUUUAAUACCCGCGCGAACAGAAAAGGGAAAAAUCAUUGCCGCCUCCAGCGCGUCCAUUUAUUAUACUUCCUUGACACUUUGACGAUGUCAUUGGUGACCCGAACGCUUCAACUUGUUACAAUUGUACAAAUUGUAUGAAAAUUGACAGUUAGGGCAUUUUGAAUAUAACCGAUAAAUGGAAGAUACUUUGAAACGAAAAGUACCCCAUCGAACGAUUAAACGUUUUUAUUGGAACAUCGAUAAAAAAGAAUGAGAAGAAAUCUUGCAUCUAACGGUGCACCGUGUUAAAACACUUGAAACGUAAAUGUGGCUCGUCGAUACAAUCUGGACGAUAGGUGGUCACCUUUUUCGUCCGAUUCUUAGCAAUUUUUCGUCCCAGCUGUUUAACAUUCUUUUUAUACCACGCUCUGCGAAAUUUUCCUGCCAGAUACGCUUGCCCUUCUUUCUUCCGCGUUUCGCGUCGCGAUCUUUGUCGAAUAAGUAUAUUUCACGGCUCUGGCGAAUUGCACCGUGUAAGGUGCAUAGCGAGUGCCAUUCUAAAAACCGAUACCUUGAUUUUUGUUUUUGUCGCUCGUUUAUGGAGUAUCUAUCGUCGCGUUUGAAAUUGACGUAUUUGACGAUAACUCAGAAGCUAAUUUUAUAUACCACUCGAGAGUUCUUCUAUGUGGUGUAGAACACGCUAUCGUUCGAUCUGAUAAAUCUACGGCACAUGUUCCUCUGUUGUGAUCCACCACUAUCAUUGGUUUAUCGCAAACAUAAUUUUUUUUACCUCUACCAUUUCAGCCGAAUGUUCCGUCGAAAUCAUAAAAAUAAUCCUAAUAGCGUUUGCUAACAUCUUCUACGUGUUUCGACUGUAUAUUCUGCGCGUUUUGCAUACGACGAAAUAUCGAGUGCGAAUAGAUUGUCGAAAUAAACGAAGCCUCGUUACGAUAUGUCGCUAUCGAUUGUUACCAAGGCGCCACGGUGGUCAACCGUGUCCACCAAUAAGAUAAACGGUCCAUCGAGGAAGAACGUUGUCUUACAUCUUCGAUUUAUUAUUAUUUUUAUAUGCUUCGAAUAAUAAAAAUACUCUCGUGGCGUCUUCGGCGAAACGAGUGAUUUCGGCGUGGCAGUCAAAGUGUUAACGCGUAUCUACAACGAUCAAAUAUUUAUCAAAUCGUCGGCGAGGUAUCCAUCGUUUUGUAUCCUUCGUUUCGUUUAUCAUCGAUGACGUGAAGGGGACGAGCCUGUUUCUUUACGAGAGACGAUAAACGUUAACGCGUCGACGCGAUAGGUCGAAGCAUAUCCCAUAACGUUCGAGUUUAUACUUUUUCGACCGUGUCGUCUAAAUAGUUUCUUUUUUGAUUUGGAAGAAUUUUACGAUCGAUUCUCAUUGAGAAUUACAAGUAAAUUUUUCUUAAGAUAAACGGUCCAUUGGCGAAGAACGUUGACUUACAUCGUCGAUUUAUUAUUAUUUUUAUAUGCUUCGAAUAAUAAAAAUACUCCAGUGGCGUUCUCGGCGAAACGUGUGAUUUCGGCGUGACGGUCAAAGUGUCGAAAGAACGAGUUCCCUUCAAACCGUUCCUUCUCGCGUCAAAUCUCGAUCGGAGAAUUCUUCCCUGUCCUGCCUGAACGACUCAAUUAAGACCCGUGAACUUUUACCUGCUCCCUUUGACAAUCCACCUACGAAACGAACCGAAAUCGAUCGAGCGGAAAGAACGUCGCGAGAACGAGAUGUUACGUAAGACGGUCUCCUUUUACCAACCUGGUAAAACGGUGACACACGGCGGCAAGCCGAUAAUUCCGGCCGAUUAAGAUGCACCAUGCGGAGACGUGCUCGCACAAUUCACGUAAUUCGCGCAAUUAACCCCUUAGAGCCGCAUUCCCGGCCGUUCGUCGGCAUCCGGUACGUCGUUCGUUCAUCGUUGUUUCGUCGAGGAACGGGUUCAUGAAUGAACCCGGCCGUGGUUCGGCAAAAAGUCUGCUUCCCCCUUUCUUCCCUACGUCCCUCUUCUCCUUCUUCGUCGCUCCGUUUCUCUCUUCACCGUGGAGCGACUGGCAGAGCGUAGAAACUGGUAUCGGCACAAUGCCGUCGGAAUACGCUAUUGGGCCGCCUCUAUUCGUUCGGCCGCUAUUUCAACCUGCGCCCGCGGCCCAAGACAAGAAACAGACGCCACCGGAAAUCAUCAUUCUCCCCGGGUAGGUUUAAUCGAAGGGAAAACCGGAAUACGCCGCAGCUUGACUGACAACAGGAGCAACCUGUCCGUGGUCGUUCGACCAGGAUUCCGCGUGGAUGAUUUUUCUUCACCGCAGCGAUCCUCUUUUCUCCGACGGACGCUUUUCAUCUUCUUCUUCUUCUCCUUCUUCUCGUCUUCCUCGUCUAUUCCUUUCCCGACGCGGAUUAAUUAGUCGCGUCGUUGCCGUAAACGAGCGUUCUUUCGACGAGCCUGAAACGCGACGCUGCGUCGCGCCGCCUCGUAACAUCGAACAUUUUCCAAUCCUGUUACUUUGUAAUACGUAAUUAUACGACGACUCGCGCGUUUAGUAUAGUUUUCGAAACCACGUUCGUACGUAUAUCCUGAUCCGAUUCGCGUGGCGAACGUACGACGAUAUCGCGCGCCUCUAAGUUUCGUGAGAUCGCGACGCGACGAUAUGGUAGCCGGCAGGCACACCAGCUGGUCCAACUUUUUGUCCAGGGUCGACAGCUGCGACGAAAACGAAAAAUCCGAAUUGGAAUCAACGAGAGCAAGAAACCUCGACCCCUUCGACCAUCGAAGGGGAUGUGCGUGGCUACGGGAUCGUUCGUGGGCCAAACGCGUUUGUCGCGAUAGCAGAACGGUCACCGUCGAAUAGAUCCGUAGCUGUUCCGCGUUCCCAAUCGCGUGGAUACGAUAAUCGCGCUAUCAAAAAAUUCAGGGUCUUUCGUUUAAUUCCGUUACCUCUAGUCGCAUCGACUAAACGGUAUCGUGUUACGAAUCGUCGUUACGUUUCCACCAACUUUCUUCUCUCUGGAAUGCAUUUCUUUCGCAUUUUCGACUAAUAUCGCGUCUAUCGAAAUCGCCGGCCAAUCGUAGCUUUUCGAUCGAGUUCGCUUGGUUCCGUUUCGUCGAAGGAGCGUAACCGUUUGGCAUGUAUUGGGUUGGCAACUAAGUGACUGCGGAUAUAUCGAUACCAUCUAUUGACAAAAUCCGCAAUCACUUAGUUGCUAACCUAAAAAAAGAGAAAGGCACGAGUUUAUCUUGCAUUUAACUUUUAUUAUAUAAUAUUAUGCCGUAUUUCAGUUACAUAAUUUUAAGUAUUCGAUACCCUAUUCGUCAUAUAGGCAUACACGUACCUAAGAACAUGUUCGGCACAUAUACACCUAUAUAUGAUGCACACACGUGGCGCAUACCGCUGCGUGUUUAAUAAUCGACUUUAUUAUCAAUAUACAAAUAAUGGAAGACAUAGCAGCACCUAGAAGUGCUGUUCAAAAGACGACCUCUUACCUAAAACAUUCGUAAAUUUUAUUGUUCUUUUUUCCGCGAGACUGUUGUAAACCCCCUCUCGAUAGCUUCAUCCUGUAAUUCACGCUGUUGCCGCUGCAAACGAAGCGCGAUAUACUUCUAGCCGCAGAUUUGUAAACAACGUACUAAAUCAUCGUAGGUAACCAAACUGCGAGAUACGUAAUGAUAGAGUAUUGUAAUCUUUUCUUUUCUUUCUCUCUCAAUUCGAUUUAAUUCACCUUUUUUUAUUUCGCAUUUCACGUUUCGUUAGGCUAUUACACGACGGAUACGUCGUACGUUCAAUUUUUCCGACACACCGUGAUCUUGUUCGGACACGUGUAUACGUACUUGCGCGCGGUAAAGAGACGUUACGUACACAAAUACGCGCAGCAUGGUACACGGACGAAUUCUCUUUUCCGUUCGCGUCUUCGUGCCAGUGUGGAAUCGCGCAAGUACAUAGACAAGUAUCUGGCCAGACGUACAUUGUCGUCAAAUUACCGACAACGCGUAAGUAUCGUUUAAUGUCUUCGUACAUUUGAAAUUGAUAGUUCCUCGUAAAUAUGUUACAUUUUAUGUUGCCUUAUUU